RNAcentral lists this unclassified non-coding RNA (440 nucleotides) under Hevea brasiliensis (rubber tree). Lineage: Eukaryota; Viridiplantae; Streptophyta; Magnoliopsida; Malpighiales; Euphorbiaceae. The record is from RNAcentral.
GUUGGAUAUCUUGCUUUGUAUGUAUACAUUAAAUGCCUCUGUACUUCACAAGAUGCACAUGUUUGCAACUGUUUAAUUUUCUUUCCUUGGAGACAUAACCUUUAAAAACUGCAAUUGAGUAUUCCCCAUAAACCCUAGAAAUUUAUAGGAAGAUCAACAAGGUUAUACUUCCUUUAUCCCAUGUCUUUGCUGGUUUCCUCCUGGCCUUGCCUUAAAAGCUUAACUGAUAUGGAAUUUUGUGAGUGGAAGAUUUGAGGAAAGGCCAUUGAUUUGGCCUUCCUGCAUUUUUGUGAGCCUAUAGCUUAUGAAAAUUAUAAUGGGAUUUUUCUAGGGAUAUUUAAGGGGACAAAAGCAAAUGUGUUCAUUGAAUUGGAAGUGUCCACAUGUUACGUAGCAGAGUUUCCAUGACCCAAACGUGCAGAAUAAGAAUAAAGAGAAGG